UCAGUUCGGAUCGCAGUCUGCAACUCGACUGCGUGAAGCUGGAAUCGCUAGUAAUCGCGGAUCAGCAUGCCGCGGUGAAUACGUUCCCGGGCCUUGUACACACCGCCCGUCACACCACGAGAGUUUGUAACACCCGAAGUCGGUGAGGUAACCUUUAUGGAGCCAGCCGCCGAAGGUGGGACAGAUGAUUGGGGUGAAGUCGUAACAAGGUAGCCGUAUCGGAAGGUGCGGCUGGAUCACCUCCUUUCUAAGGA
RNAcentral lists this ribosomal RNA (254 nucleotides) under Bacillus pumilus. RNAcentral's name for it is "partial 16S ribosomal RNA". It matches the Rfam family "Bacterial small subunit ribosomal RNA", at positions 1288 to 1533 of the family's 1533-position model. The record is from RNAcentral. Lineage: Bacteria; Bacillati; Bacillota; Bacilli; Caryophanales; Bacillaceae.